UGUAGUUCACACUGGCUUGGUAGAU
Molecule: non-coding RNA, 25 nt
Filed under: Rattus norvegicus (Norway rat)
Lineage: Eukaryota; Metazoa; Chordata; Mammalia; Rodentia; Muridae
Source: RNAcentral